RNAcentral lists this ribosomal RNA (468 nucleotides) under uncultured bacterium. RNAcentral's name for it is "partial 16S ribosomal RNA". It matches the Rfam family "Bacterial small subunit ribosomal RNA", at positions 28 to 507 of the family's 1533-position model. The record is from RNAcentral.
GACGAACGCUGGCGGCGUGCCUAACACAUGCAAGUCGAACGGAAAGGCCCUGCUUUUGUGUGGUGCUCGUUUGGCGAACGGGUGAGUAACACGCGAGUAACCUGCCCUUGACUUUGGGAUAACUCCUGGAAACAGGGGCUAUUAUCGGAUAGGAGCUCUUGCAGCACGGUGGUGGAAGGAAAGAUUCGGUGGUUGGGGCUCGAUUAGAAGGUUACCCGCUUCUUGGUGGGGUAGUGGCUUACAAAGCUUUCGACGGGUAGCCGGCCUGAGAGGGUGACCGGCCACAUUAGGACUGAGGUACGGCGCAGACUCCAACGGGAGGCAGCAGUGGGGAGUAUUGCACAAUGACCGGAAGCCUGAUGCAGCAACGCCGCGUGCGGGAUGACCGCCUUCGGGUUGUGAACCGCUUUCGCCUGUGACGAAGCGUGAGUGACGGUAAUGAGUAAAGAAGCACCGGCUAACUACGUG